UUAAAAUGUUGAUAUAUAUAUGGUGGAUUAAAUGUUCGAUUUUAUUACAAAACAAACAAAGGACAACACAAAUUGUUGGUAAUGGCAAUGACGAUAUUUCUUAAAUUGACUGGUAAUCACACAUGCAGAUUGGAUGCUGAGUCUUCAAACACGAUAGAUUCUAUAAAAGAAAAGGUCUUGAACAGGGAAGGAAUUCCAGUUGACCAACAGUGCCUUCUGUUUGCAGGACAACAACUAGAGAAUAACCGUACUUUGGCAGACUAUGACAUACAAAACGGUUCAACGGUGCUUCUUAGACUACAGAAACCGAUGAUUGAUCCAUAAAUCUAUUGCGUAUUAUAAUAUAUUUUCAAACUGUUGUUUUCUGGUGUAAUAAUUUACGUGUAAAUCUGUAUUUGACCAAACCAUAUAUUUUAGCAAUAAACGUGAUCUCAUGAAUUUA
Long non-coding RNA from Mytilus californianus (California mussel), 442 nucleotides. RefSeq lists it as uncharacterized. The record is from RefSeq and is a predicted model, not a curated record. The transcript has 3 exons. Lineage: Eukaryota; Metazoa; Mollusca; Bivalvia; Mytilida; Mytilidae.